RNAcentral lists this ribosomal RNA (1372 nucleotides) under uncultured bacterium. RNAcentral describes it as "bacterial SSU rRNA". It matches the Rfam family "Bacterial small subunit ribosomal RNA", at positions 28 to 1381 of the family's 1533-position model. The record is from RNAcentral.
GAUGAACGCUGGCGGCGUGCCUAAUACAUGCAAGUCGAGCGAACGGACGAGGAGCUUGCUUCUCUGAUGUUAGCGGCGGACGGGUGAGUAACACGUGGAUAACCUACCUAUAAGACUGGGAUAACUUCGGGAAACCGGAGCUAAUACCGGAUAAUAUUUUGAACCGCAUGGUUCAAAAGUGAAAGACGGUCUUGCUGUCACUUAUAGAUGGAUCCGCGCUGCAUUAGCUAGUUGGUAAGGUAACGGCUUACCAAGGCAACGAUGCAUAGCCGACCUGAGAGGGUGAUCGGCCACACUGGAACUGAGACACGGUCCAGACUCCUACGGGAGGCAGCAGUAGGGAAUCUUCCGCAAUGGGCGAAAGCCUGACGGAGCAACGCCGCGUGAGUGAUGAAGGUCUUCGGAUCGUAAAACUCUGUUAUUAGGGAAGAACAUAUGUGUAAGUAACUGUGCACAUCUUGACGGUACCUAAUCAGAAAGCCACGGCUAACUACGUGCCAGCAGCCGCGGUAAUACGUAGGUGGCAAGCGUUAUCCGGAAUUAUUGGGCGUAAAGCGCGCGUAGGCGGUUUUUUAAGUCUGAUGUGAAAGCCCACGGCUCAACCGUGGAGGGUCAUUGGAAACUGGAAAACUUGAGUGCAGAAGAGGAAAGUGGAAUUCCAUGUGUAGCGGUGAAAUGCGCAGAGAUAUGGAGGAACACCAGUGGCGAAGGCGACUUUCUGGUCUGUAACUGACGCUGAUGUGCGAAAGCGUGGGGAUCAAACAGGAUUAGAUACCCUGGUAGUCCACGCCGUAAACGAUGAGUGCUAAGUGUUAGGGGGUUUCCGCCCCUUAGUGCUGCAGCUAACGCAUUAAGCACUCCGCCUGGGGAGUACGACCGCAAGGUUGAAACUCAAAGGAAUUGACGGGGACCCGCACAAGCGGUGGAGCAUGUGGUUUAAUUCGAAGCAACGCGAAGAACCUUACCAAAUCUUGACAUCCUUUGACAACUCUAGAGAUAGAGCCUUCCCCUUCGGGGGACAAAGUGACAGGUGGUGCAUGGUUGUCGUCAGCUCGUGUCGUGAGAUGUUGGGUUAAGUCCCGCAACGAGCGCAACCCUUAAGCUUAGUUGCCAUCAUUAAGUUGGGCACUCUAAGUUGACUGCCGGUGACAAACCGGAGGAAGGUGGGGAUGACGUCAAAUCAUCAUGCCCCUUAUGAUUUGGGCUACACACGUGCUACAAUGGACAAUACAAAGGGCAGCGAAACCGCGAGGUCAAGCAAAUCCCAUAAAGUUGUUCUCAGUUCGGAUUGUAGUCUGCAACUCGACUACAUGAAGCUGGAAUCGCUAGUAAUCGUAGAUCAGCAUGCUACGGUGAAUACGUUCCCGGGUCU